RNAcentral lists this ribosomal RNA (253 nucleotides) under uncultured bacterium. RNAcentral's name for it is "partial 16S ribosomal RNA". It matches the Rfam family "Bacterial small subunit ribosomal RNA", at positions 524 to 776 of the family's 1533-position model. The record is from RNAcentral.
UACGUAGGGUGCAAGCGUUUGUCCGGAAUUAUUGGGCGUAAAGAGCUCGUAGGCGGUCUGUCGCGUCGGCUGUGAAUCCCGAGGCUCAACCUCGGGUCUGCAGUCGAUACGGGCAGGCUAGAGUUCGGUAGGGGAGACUGGAAUUCCUGGUGUAGCGGUGAAAUGCGCAGAUAUCAGGAGGAACACCGGUGGCGAAGGCGGGUCUCUGGGCCGAUACUGACGCUGAGGAGCGAAAGCGUGGGGAGCGAACAGG